This 270-nucleotide ribosomal RNA is filed under the name uncultured archaeon. Its description in RNAcentral is "partial 16S ribosomal RNA". It matches the Rfam family "Archaeal small subunit ribosomal RNA", at positions 477 to 747 of the family's 1478-position model. The record is from RNAcentral.
CUGCAGCUCGAGUGGUGAUCGAUUUUAUUGAGCCUAAAGCGUCCGUAGCCGGACUAGUAAACCCUUGGGUAAAUUGGGCAGCUUAACUGUCCAAAUUCCGAGGGGACUGCUAGUCUUGGGACCGGGAGAGGUCAGAGGUACUCAAGGGGUAGGGGCUAAAUCCUGUAAUCCUUUGGGGACCACCAGUGGCGAAGGCGUCUGACUAGAACGGAUCCGACGGUAAGGGACGAAACCCUGGGGCGCGAACCGGAUUAGAUACCCGCGUAGUCC